CCUACGGGGGGCAGCAGUGGGGAAUAUUGCACAAUGGGGGAAACCCUGAUGCAGCGACGCCGCGUGAGCGAAGAAGUAUUUCGGUAUGUAAAGCUCUAUCAGCAGGGAAGAAAAUGACGGUACCUGACUAAGAAGCCCCGGCUAAAUACGUGCCAGCAGCCGCGGUAAUACGUAUGGGGCAAGCGUUAUCCGGAUUUACUGGGUGUAAAGGGAGCGCAGGCGGCUUGGCAAGUCUGAUGUGAAAGGCUGGGGCUCAACCCCAGGACUGCAUUGGAAACUGUUAGGCUGGAGUGUCGGAGAGGUAAGCGGAAUUCCUAGUGUAGCGGUGAAAUGCGUAGAUAUUAGGAGGAAUACCGUUAGCGAAGGCGGCAAUCUGGCUGGAAACUGACGCUGAGGUGCGAAAGCGUGGGUAGCAAACAGGAUUAGAUACCCUUGUAGUC
This 440-nucleotide ribosomal RNA is filed under the name uncultured bacterium. RNAcentral's name for it is "partial 16S ribosomal RNA". It matches the Rfam family "Bacterial small subunit ribosomal RNA", at positions 338 to 795 of the family's 1533-position model. The record is from RNAcentral.